Non-coding RNA from Cinara cedri, 321 nucleotides. NCBI's taxonomy places the organism in Eukaryota, Metazoa, Arthropoda, Insecta, Hemiptera, Aphididae. The record is from the annotation of a GenBank genome assembly.
AGUUGUCAUUAUCAGUUGUCCUCCGUGACAUAAUCACUAACAUCAUCUUUCUCGUGGUUGCUCUCGUUAUUGUUUUGUUUAUGUUACUAGUAACCAAGAAUUCAAUUUACGUCCGUUCAUCGAUCAGUUGAUUCUUAUGGAAGUUGCUUGUUUUAGUGACUAGUUGCAACUGCUAGCCGUUGUUGCAUUUGUCCUUAUUGGUUUUAUGUUGUAUGCCGCAGCGUUUGUGUCACAAUUCAUUUGUCACCUCUAUUAACGUAAGUAAAAUNUCCGUUCCUCGAUUCCGUGUCGACUUUUACUCUUGCGAUUAGUGUAUUUUUU